CCUACGGGUGGCAGCAGUGAGGAAUAUUGGUCAAUGGGCGCAAGCCUGAACCAGCCAAGUCGCGUGAGGGAUGACGGUCCUAUGGAUCGUAAACCUCUUUUAUAGGGGAGUAAAGUGCGGGACGUGUCCCGUUUUGAAUGUACCUUAUGAAUAAGGAUCGGCUAACUCCGUGCCAGCAGCCGCGGUAAUACGGAGGAUCCGAGCGUUAUCCGGAUUUAUUGGGUUUAAAGGGUGCGUAGGCGGCCUGUUAAGUCAGCGGUGAAAGUUUGUGGCUCAACCAUAGAGUAGCCGUUGAAACUGGUAUGCUUGAGUAUGUGAGAGGUAGGCGGAAUGCGUGGUGUAGCGGUGAAAUGCUUAGAUAUCACGCAGAACCCCGAUUGCGAAGGCAGCCUGCC
Molecule: ribosomal RNA, 395 nt
Filed under: uncultured bacterium
Lineage: Bacteria
Description: partial 16S ribosomal RNA
Rfam family: Bacterial small subunit ribosomal RNA
Source: RNAcentral